UUCAAAGAGUGCGUAACAGCUCACUGGUCGAGUGGACAUGCGCCGACAAUACACGGGGCUAAGCUGGACACCGAAGCGGCGGGAUUUUAAUUCAUUAGAAUCGGUAGGGGAGCUUCCCAUGGGCGGGGAAGCCGCCGGGCGACCGGCGGUGGAGCGCAUGGGAGUGAGAAUGCUGGCAUGAGUAGCGAGAGACGAGAGAGUAACUCGUCCGCCGUGAACCCGAGGUUUCCUGGGCAAGGCUAAUCCUCCCAGGGUCAGUCGGGGGCUAAGGCGAGGCCGGGAGGCGUAGCCGACGCGCAGCAGGCAGACAUUCCUGCACCGCGCACGCGGCGCUACGACCGACGGGGCGACGGAUGGGGGUGGCUCGGCGGGGUUCUGGACGUCCCCGUGAUGGAGCGCGGCCCGCGGACCAGGGAAAUCCGGUCCGCACGAGGGCGAGGCUCCGGACGAAGCACUUAAGCGAAGCGAGUGAGCCCGAGGUCCCUAGAAAAACCCCUAGGCAGGCGCGUGCGCGCCCGUACCGCAAACCGACACAGGUGGGUGGGUAGAACAUACCGAGGCGAUCGGGUCAACCAUGGUCAAGGAACUCGGCACAAUGGCCCCGUAACUUCGGGAGAAGGGGUGCCCGCGCGUACGUGAACGGACUUGCUCCGGGAGCGGAGGCGGGCCGCAGUGGAGAGGCCCAAGCGACUGUUUACCAAAAACACAGGACUCUGCAGAAGCCGCAAGGCGACGUAUAGGGUCUGACGCCUGCCCGGUGCCGGAAGGUCACGCGGAGGAGUUAGCGCACCGCGCGAAGCCCCGAAGCCAAGCCCCGGUAAACGGCGGCCGUAACUAUAACGGUCCUAAGGUAGCGAAAUUCCUUGUCGGGUAAGUUCCGACCUGCACGAAAGGCGCAACGACUUGGGCGCUGUCUCGACCAUGGACCCGGUGAAAUUGCACUGGUCGUGAAGAUGCGACUUACCCGCGGAAGGACGGAAAGACCCCGUGAACCUUCACUGCAGCUUGGCAUUGGCCGCUGGUCCCGCGUGUAGAGGAUAGGCAGGAGGCACAGAUCCGGAGGCGCCAGCCCCCGGGGAGCCGCCCUUGGAAUACUGCCCUCGCGCGACCGGCGUCCUAACCCGAGGCCGUCACCCGGCUCGGGGACCGUGCCAGGCGGGCAGUUUGACUGGGGCGGUCGCCUCCUAAAGGGUAACGGAGGCGCGCGAAGGUCCGCUCGGGACGGUCGGCAACCGUCCUUUUGAAUGCAAGAGUACAAGCGGGCUUGACUGCGAGGCCCACGAGCCGAGCAGGUGCGAAAGCAGGCUCUAGUGAUCCGGCGGCCCCGAGUGGGUGGGCCGUCGCUCAACGGAUAAAAGGUACUCCGGGGAUAACAGGCUGAUCUUGCCCAAGAGUCCACAUCGACGGCAAGGUUUGGCACCUCGAUGUCGGCUCAUCGCAUCCUGGGGCUGGAGCAGGUCCCAAGGGUACGGCUGUUCGCCGUUUAAAGCGGUACGCGAGCUGGGUUCAGAACGUCGUGAGACAGUUCGGUCCCUAUC
RNAcentral lists this ribosomal RNA (1538 nucleotides) under human gut metagenome. RNAcentral's name for it is "bacterial LSU rRNA". It matches the Rfam family "Bacterial large subunit ribosomal RNA", at positions 1122 to 2642 of the family's 2925-position model. The record is from RNAcentral.